CUCACUGUCGACAUGCAAGUUUAAAAUUAUACACAUGGAAACAUGGCUGUGUUUAUGGAUUCGAAUAUUAGCUACACAACCGAUAAAAAACGACUUCGGAAUGUUAUUGCAACAGCAGCGCACCGUAACUAUGUUUGAUCCUUUUCACAAUUGCAUAACUGUUUAACUAGCACAAACCUUUAUGCAUAAAGAAGACCAUGGCUGCCUGGAUAACGUUAUGUUAGCUAGCAGCUCACCGUAACUAGCUAUGUUUUUAUCUUCUCAUUUGCAAAACUGUUAAGCUUAACACUAAUUUCAGAUUCGUCUUUGCUAACGUCUACGCGCUAGUUCAUCGCUUGAGGCAACCCUCAAUAUGUCGUCGUACGAUGGACCAGAACUAGCUGAAAGAUGUCUUGAUUGAUUUGCUAAUCAAGUACUGUAACGUUUUCAUGUUUCAGUUGCAUACUCCACAGUUGCCAUCAAUUAUGUGGUUCAUUUGCAAUAAAAGAAACAGGUAGGCUCGGUGUUCCCUGUUUUAUAACUCGCCAAGUCAAGAGAGCUGUCCUCCCCUUUGUUAAUAACAUUUGUUUGCUUAUGUUUACAGGGAAUUGGCCAACCAAAAUGUGUCUCAGAGCUGUACGAUACAUUACCCGUAGUGCAGGUAAUGUGGAGUAAUGUUGAUGUAUAAGGUAAUACUUUUUCAUGAUGAUAACUAUCACAUUUCUCCAUGCAGUGGGAUAAUAACUAAAUAUUUUUUUUUUUGCACAGGGUAAAUCCAGAACAAUCAAGGUUUUAAACCGACUGACAGUUGUGGCCUCAGACCCAUCACACUUUGAGUCCAAUAUACACUGUGUAAAACAUUAGGAACACCUUUUGUAAUAUUGAGUCGACCUCUUUUGCCCAUAGAACAGCCUCAAUUCGUCAGAGCAUGGACUCUACACAAGGUGUCAAGCGUUCCACAGGAAUGAUGGCCAAUGUUGACUCCAAUUCUUCCCACAAUCAAAUUGGCUGGAUUUGGGUGGUGAACCAUUCUUGAUACACACGGGAAACUGUUGUGUGAAACCCAGAAUCAUUUCAAUUCUUGACACUCAAACCGGUGCGUCUGACACCUAACGUAAACUCACCCCAUUCCGUAUAAAUGUGUGCAACCACGACAUUCAAAAGAGGCUGCGAAGAAAACUAAUGGGACUUUAGCGACUGUGUUGACUUAAAAAUCUGGGGUGUGAACUACGUUUCUAUUCAAGCGUUGAUCGACAUGGUUUUAUGGCUCUAUAGUAUUGGAGAAAAGUUGAGAACUGACCCUCCGUUACAUCAUGACGUGUCAUGCUGUAACGUACAGCACGCGUAAAGCAACUAUUUCUGUCUUACAAUCUCUCCACCAGGUGUAGCACUUCUUUCAUCGUUUAAAAACAAGAAAUGGACAGUGACGGAGGUAAGGGGGAUACCUAGUCAUUUUUUGCGUCGUCACUGUAAACGAUCAUUACUCUCAAAAGACAAUGUUUACUUCUGAAGAUCACUUUAGCACCGCCCUAAAAACCCGAUUCAAAUUCGACACAGACCUUCAAAUAGGUAUGUAAUGACCCAUUAUAUUAACUCUUUAUAGUGUUUUAUUUACAUUUUAGAGGCGAUAAGGUGAUAAAUUGGACAGAUCGAGUGAAAAAAGGCCGUUUCCCCACAGGUGAUCUCUCCUUCUCACUAUCACGCAUUAGUUUCGCUUCCCCACCCGCCAUUUUUAAAAAGACCCGACGGGGCUCAUUGCCUUCUUGAAUUAUGCAGAAACGGGCAGCGUGAAGGUCAUGUAAUUUAUUUUGUUGGAAAGGGGAGAAAUUGUGCUUUACUAUGGUAUUAACAUUACAAUUGAUCUGGAAGUAUUAUGUUUUUGGGGCGCUAAAAUAAGGUCAAUGGUACGGACCAAGGCGAUGUACAAAAGUGAGUUUGUUACUACCAUAUUUUAUUCAAAGGCACUUAAAUCUUUUCUUGCCCAUACACCCUCUGAAUGGCACACAUACAAUCCAUGUCUCAAGGCUUAAAAAUCCUUUUUGACUGUUUUCCUUCCAAUUUUAAGUGGAUUUAACAGGUGACAUCAAUAAGGGAUCAUGUCUUUCAGCUGGUCAGUCUGUCAUGGAAUGAACAAGUGUUCCUAAGGUUUUGUAUACUCUGUGUGCAGUAGAAGUUUAAACAUUUGCUGUAUUCAUAUUCAUAUUGCAUGAUUCUUCAAAUAACAUCUGUCCCUUCCCAGAGACCAACUGCAGAGUACAAAGCCUAUGACUUAGUGGCUGUCUAUCCUAAAACAGAGAAGUUGUUUCAUGCAGCUUGCAUGACAUUCGAUGUUGACAUCAUCUGUGUAGCAGUGACAGAAAAACAGCCCUUCUCCAGUAAAUGGGAGGUGUGUUCUUUGAAAUAAGUUACGCACCUGCAAUCCGAGACUCCACCAUGAGAAGAUACACCAUCGCAAAUUCCAUCAGUCUCGUGGAGAUGUGCAAAGGAAAGAAUGUAAUUGUGACGAGCGGUGCAGAAAAGUCCCUUGAAUUGAAGGGACCCUACGACAUUGGCAGCUUGUAUCCUUACAUGACCUUCUACAGUACUUGAUGUAGGCUACUAGAAUAGAGUGCAGACUUAUGCAGGUGUGAUGAGGCCAACCUGUGUCCGUGCUGUUAUCCUGAAUGAGUUUUUGGCCUGUCCGAAGGAGAUGGCAAAUCUGCAAUCUCCACCAACUGUCGCGCUGUCCACUUACAUGGAGAAACAAGAAAGACUGCCUUGGGUAUUGUACACACUGAAGAAAGAGCAGCCAUUGAGAGACAGGAGGAUGUUCCAGCCUCAGAGGGCUAAGAUUGAGACUGCAUAGUAGAAAGUAAAAUACUUUUGGAUGAAUAGAGAAUGUGUUUAUGUAAAUGCCCUUUUAUGAAUAUCUUUGUGUUAAUGUGACUGUUUUCUAAUGGUCAGUGGUUAUAUAGUUUGUCAUGGAUUAGCAACUAUGAUGAUGCUUGUUCCUUUUAGACAAAGGAAUCAAAUUCAGAUAGCAAAGGCAAUGCUGUCUAUUUAAUACAUUUACAGGUAAACAUGUAGUGGAAACAUUGCAGUUACUUCAGGAAGUGUAUUAAUACUACACAAGCAUUUUUAAAUCCUGUAUUCUCACUGACUACCACAAAACCAGGUUGAAGCCACAGGCUUGCUUUCUGCGGAACAGUAUUGUUUUGUGAAUAUCUUUUUAUAUUAAAGAGGAAUUAAGAAUGUA
Molecule: long non-coding RNA, 3214 nt
Organism: Oncorhynchus tshawytscha (Chinook salmon)
Lineage: Eukaryota; Metazoa; Chordata; Actinopteri; Salmoniformes; Salmonidae
Exons: 6
Source: RefSeq, a predicted model, not a curated record